Molecule: ribosomal RNA, 455 nt
Filed under: uncultured bacterium
Lineage: Bacteria
Description: bacterial SSU rRNA
Rfam family: Bacterial small subunit ribosomal RNA
Source: RNAcentral
UACGGAAGGCAGCAGUGGGGAAUAUUGCACAAUGGGCGAAAGCCUGAUGCAGCUAUGCCGCGUGUAUGAAGAAGGCCUUAGGGUUGUAAAGUACUUUCAUCGGGGAGGAAAAACAAAACUAAUAAUUUUAUUUCUUGACGUUACCCGAAAAAGAAGCACCGGCUAACUCCGUGCCAGCAGCCGCGGUAAUACGGAGGGUGCUAGCGUUAAUCAGAAUUACUGGGCGUAAAGAGCACGUAGGUGGUUUUUUUAAGUCAGAUGUGAAAUCCCUGGGCUUAACCUGGAACUGCAUUUUGAAACUGAAAUACUAGAGUAUCGUAGAGGGAGGUAGAAUUCUAGGUGUAGCGGUGAAAUGCGUAGAUAUCUGGAGGAAUACCUGUGGCGAAAGCGGCCUCCUAAACGAAUACUGACACUGAGGUGCGAAAGCGUGGGGAGCAAACGAGGAUUAGGAUACC